Molecule: ribosomal RNA, 492 nt
Filed under: uncultured bacterium
Lineage: Bacteria
Description: partial 16S ribosomal RNA
Rfam family: Bacterial small subunit ribosomal RNA
Source: RNAcentral
AGUGAACGCUGGCGGUAGGCCUAACACAUGCAGGUCGAACGGCAGCACAGUAAGAGCUUGCUCUUACGGGUGGCGAGUGGCGGACGGGUGAGGAAUACAUCGGAAUCUACUUUUUCGUGGGGGAUAACGCAGGGAAACUUACGCUAAUACCGCAUACGACCUACGGGUGAAAGCAGGGGAUCUUCGGACCUUGCGCGAUUGAAUGAGCCGAUGUCGGAUUAGCUAGUUGGCGGGGUAAAGGCCCACCAAGGCGACGAUCCGUAGCUGGUCUGAGAGGAUGAUCAGCCACACUGGAACUGAGACACGGUCCAGACUCCUACGGGAGGCAGCAGUGGGGAAUAUUGGACAAUGGGCGCAAGCCUGAUCCAGCCAUACCGCGUGGGUGAAGAAGGCCUUCGGGUUGUAAAGCCCUUUUGUUGGGAAAGAAAAGCAGCAGGUUAAUACCCCGCUGUUCUGACGGUACCCAAAGAAUAAGCACCGGCUAACUUCGUG